RNAcentral lists this ribosomal RNA (267 nucleotides) under uncultured bacterium. Its description in RNAcentral is "partial 16S ribosomal RNA". It matches the Rfam family "Bacterial small subunit ribosomal RNA", at positions 793 to 1055 of the family's 1533-position model. The record is from RNAcentral.
GUCCACGCUGUAAACGAUGGAUGCUGGGUAUGGGGUAUCGACCCCUCCCGUGCCGAAGUUAACACGAUAAGCAUCCCGCCUGGGGAGUACGGUCGCAAGACUAAAACUCAAAGGAAUUGACGGGGCCCGCACAAGCAGCGGAGCGUGUGGUUUAAUUCGAUGCAAAGCGAAGAACCUUACCUGGGCUUGACAUGCACAAAGUAGAAACCCCGAAAGGGCAACGACCUGUAAAGUCAGGGAUGUGCACAGGUGCUGCAUGGCUGUCGU